This 2833-nucleotide ribosomal RNA is filed under the name Staphylococcus aureus. RNAcentral's name for it is "23S ribosomal RNA". It matches the Rfam family "Bacterial large subunit ribosomal RNA". The record is from RNAcentral. Lineage: Bacteria; Bacillati; Bacillota; Bacilli; Caryophanales; Staphylococcaceae.
GAUUAAGUUAUUAAGGGCGCACGGUGGAUGCCUUGGCACUAGAAGCCGAUGAAGGACGUUACUAACGACGAUAUGCUUUGGGGAGCUGUAAGUAAGCUUUGAUCCAGAGAUUUCCGAAUGGGGAAACCCAACAUGAGUUAUGUCAUGUUAUCGAUAUGUGAAUACAUAGCAUAUCAGAAGGCACACCCGGAGAACUGAAACAUCUUAGUACCCGGAGGAAGAGAAAGAAAAUUCGAUUCCCUUAGUAGCGGCGAGCGAAACGGGAAGAGCCCAAACCAACAAGCUUGCUUGUUGGGGUUGUAGGACACUCUAUACGGAGUUACAAAGGACGACAUUAGACGAAUCAUCUGGAAAGAUGAAUCAAAGAAGGUAAUAAUCCUGUAGUCGAAAAUGUUGUCUCUCUUGAGUGGAUCCUGAGUACGACGGAGCACGUGAAAUUCCGUCGGAAUCUGGGAGGACCAUCUCCUAAGGCUAAAUACUCUCUAGUGACCGAUAGUGAACCAGUACCGUGAGGGAAAGGUGAAAAGCACCCCGGAAGGGGAGUGAAAUAGAACCUGAAACCGUGUGCUUACAAGUAGUCAGAGCCCGUUAAUGGGUGAUGGCGUGCCUUUUGUAGAAUGAACCGGCGAGUUACGAUUUGAUGCAAGGUUAAGCAGUAAAUGUGGAGCCGUAGCGAAAGCGAGUCUGAAUAGGGCGUUUAGUAUUUGGUCGUAGACCCGAAACCAGGUGAUCUACCCUUGGUCAGGUUGAAGUUCAGGUAACACUGAAUGGAGGACCGAACCGACUUACGUUGAAAAGUGAGCGGAUGAACUGAGGGUAGCGGAGAAAUUCCAAUCGAACCUGGAGAUAGCUGGUUCUCUCCGAAAUAGCUUUAGGGCUAGCCUCAAGUGAUGAUUAUUGGAGGUAGAGCACUGUUUGGACGAGGGGCCCCUCUCGGGUUACCGAAUUCAGACAAACUCCGAAUGCCAAUUAAUUUAACUUGGGAGUCAGAACAUGGGUGAUAAGGUCCGUGUUCGAAAGGGAAACAGCCCAGACCACCAGCUAAGGUCCCAAAAUAUAUGUUAAGUGGAAAAGGAUGUGGCGUUGCCCAGACAACUAGGAUGUUGGCUUAGAAGCAGCCAUCAUUUAAAGAGUGCGUAAUAGCUCACUAGUCGAGUGACACUGCGCCGAAAAUGUACCGGGGCUAAACAUAUUACCGAAGCUGUGGAUUGUCCUUUGGACAAUGGUAGGAGAGCGUUCUAAGGGCGUUGAAGCAUGAUCGUAAGGACAUGUGGAGCGCUUAGAAGUGAGAAUGCCGGUGUGAGUAGCGAAAGACGGGUGAGAAUCCCGUCCACCGAUUGACUAAGGUUUCCAGAGGAAGGCUCGUCCGCUCUGGGUUAGUCGGGUCCUAAGCUGAGGCCGACAGGCGUAGGCGAUGGAUAACAGGUUGAUAUUCCUGUACCACCUAUAAUCGUUUUAAUCGAUGGGGGACGCAGUAGGAUAGGCGAAGCGUGCGAUUGGAUUGCACGUCUAAGCAGUAAGGCUGAGUAUUAGGCAAAUCCGGUACUCGUUAAGGCUGAGCUGUGAUGGGGAGAAGACAUUGUGUCUUCGAGUCGUUGAUUUCACACUGCCGAGAAAAGCCUCUAGAUAGAAAAUAGGUGCCCGUACCGCAAACCGACACAGGUAGUCAAGAUGAGAAUUCUAAGGUGAGCGAGCGAACUCUCGUUAAGGAACUCGGCAAAAUGACCCCGUAACUUCGGGAGAAGGGGUGCUCUUUAGGGUUAACGCCCAGAAGAGCCGCAGUGAAUAGGCCCAAGCGACUGUUUAUCAAAAACACAGGUCUCUGCUAAACCGUAAGGUGAUGUAUAGGGGCUGACGCCUGCCCGGUGCUGGAAGGUUAAGAGGAGUGGUUAGCUUCUGCGAAGCUACGAAUCGAAGCCCCAGUAAACGGCGGCCGUAACUAUAACGGUCCUAAGGUAGCGAAAUUCCUUGUCGGGUAAGUUCCGACCCGCACGAAAGGCGUAACGAUUUGGGCACUGUCUCAACGAGAGACUCGGUGAAAUCAUAGUACCUGUGAAGAUGCAGGUUACCCGCGACAGGACGGAAAGACCCCGUGGAGCUUUACUGUAGCCUGAUAUUGAAAUUCGGCACAGCUUGUACAGGAUAGGUAGGAGCCUUUGAAACGUGAGCGCUAGCUUACGUGGAGGCGCUGGUGGGAUACUACCCUAGCUGUGUUGGCUUUCUAACCCGCACCACUUAUCGUGGUGGGAGACAGUGUCAGGCGGGCAGUUUGACUGGGGCGGUCGCCUCCUAAAAGGUAACGGAGGCGCUCAAAGGUUCCCUCAGAAUGGUUGGAAAUCAUUCAUAGAGUGUAAAGGCAUAAGGGAGCUUGACUGCGAGACCUACAAGUCGAGCAGGGUCGAAAGACGGACUUAGUGAUCCGGUGGUUCCGCAUGGAAGGGCCAUCGCUCAACGGAUAAAAGCUACCCCGGGGAUAACAGGCUUAUCUCCCCCAAGAGUUCACAUCGACGGGGAGGUUUGGCACCUCGAUGUCGGCUCAUCGCAUCCUGGGGCUGUAGUCGGUCCCAAGGGUUGGGCUGUUCGCCCAUUAAAGCGGUACGCGAGCUGGGUUCAGAACGUCGUGAGACAGUUCGGUCCCUAUCCGUCGUGGGCGUAGGAAAUUUGAGAGGAGCUGUCCUUAGUACGAGAGGACCGGGAUGGACAUACCUCUGGUGUACCAGUUGUCGUGCCAACGGCAUAGCUGGGUAGCUAUGUGUGGACGGGAUAAGUGCUGAAAGCAUCUAAGCAUGAAGCCCCCCUCAAGAUGAGAUUUCCCAACUUCGGUUAUAAGAUC